This 241-nucleotide long non-coding RNA is filed under the name Elaeis guineensis (African oil palm). RNAcentral's name for it is "long non-coding RNA (EGUI_LNC068630)". The record is from RNAcentral. Lineage: Eukaryota; Viridiplantae; Streptophyta; Magnoliopsida; Arecales; Arecaceae.
GGGGCCCGGCUUCCUUCGACCUCGGACUUUCGGCUUCGACCCUCGCCAGGGAAUCCCUUAAACAUCCGACUUCUGCUUCCAAUUCUCUCUCUCUCAUUAAUAUCUCCAUGUAUCUUCGAUGAUAUCGCUGGCUUUCGCUCUCCGCCUCUCGAUGCCUUUUUCUCAGGACCUCAGAUUCUGCCUCCGCAUCCUUGACGGCCUGCUGCUCACAUGCCAGCUGGAUCUUCAAUUGCUGCAGCUC